UACGUAUGGUGCAAGCGUUAUCCGGAUUUACAGGGUGUAAAGGGAGCGCAGGCGGCGCGUUAAGCCUGGUGUGAAAGCCCGCGGCCCAACCGCGGGACUGCAUUGGGAACUGGCGCGCUGGAGUGCCGGAGGGGUAGGCGGAAUUCCUAGUGUAGCGGUGAAAUGCGUAGAUAUUAGGAGGAACACCAGUGGCGAAGGCGGCCUACUGGACGGUGACUGACGCUGAGGCUCGAAAGCGUGGGGAGCAAACAGG
This 253-nucleotide ribosomal RNA is filed under the name uncultured bacterium. RNAcentral's name for it is "partial 16S ribosomal RNA". It matches the Rfam family "Bacterial small subunit ribosomal RNA", at positions 524 to 776 of the family's 1533-position model. The record is from RNAcentral.